CUAAUUGAUCAGAUUAGAAGUAAUUGUUUUCAUCAAAUACUACAAUCCUGCCUAGCUGAUGAUGAGGAAAUUACUUCAUUUUAUAUCGUCUUACCUCCGAUCAGGCCAGCUUCCUUCCCAUCAUUCGAAAUUUAAUUCCUCAAAUGUAUCUGUUCAAUUCAUAGCUCCCUCAUUUCUUCGCCAAUUCUCUCUCACUCUCACUUUCUUUUCAAUUUUUUCCUGUCAUUCUUUUUUAGCUUUGAGUAACCACAGGCCAAAAAAAACACGGUACAGUAGGAAGAGAGUUUUUGUGAGAGAGAAACCCUAAGUUUUCUCUGGUGUUUCUAGUUUUUGUGAUUUUUUAAAUCUGCUGCUUCAUCGGAGACUCAUUUCAGGUAUCAAUCUCUGUUUUAGUUUCAGAUCCAUGCUUCUUUACUUGUAUUUCAGUGGGUUUUUCUUAGGGUUUUUGGUUUUCAGCUUUAGAAAUAACUGGUUCGUUCCGUCUGUCAAAUCUAUAGAUGUUGGUCUUGUUCUUCAUUUUUGUUUGUUUAUCGUCUACUGUAUGUUGUUCUUUAUUUUUGGAUUGUUUGUUUCCCUCUGUUUAAUGUUAUAGCUUUUUUGUUAUUGUCUAUUUCUUUUAAAUCUUUGCUUAGCAGAAUACUAAUUGCCUGAACAAAAAGCAUCCGUAUGUAAAUUGUUUACUGCAUCUGUGUUGGCUUGAUUUGAGUUCUAGGAACCCAGUAGGAGUUGUGACGCAUGUAGGGUUUAUUUGGUAGUUUUUUCUGGAUGGUAAUAGCAUGUCUUUUUAAUUCGUAGUGAGUUGUGACAUUCUGUUUCUUAGAUUUCUCAAAAAAUCUGUCCUUUAGUUUUUAAAAAAAAUAAUAAUCUAAUUGGGAUGCUUGUUAAUAUUGAUAGUAAUUGAAGAACUGGAGAAUUUCAACCUAUUUGCUAAUUGCAAAGGUUUUUUUCGAUUUGGGUUUCAUGAUCAUAUACGGUGGAGAUUGUCAUGAUUCGUGUAUGCAUAUAUGUUUUCUUUUUCAUACUGCUAGGUAGUUGCAUUCAUCAGUAAAAUAGUUGGGAUUGGUCGUGUUCUGUUGGGUAUGAUUUGCAAAUGGAUUUUGAUUGGAAGUUUUAGGUAGACCCAUAGUAUCUCUGUAUAUCAGCUGAAUGGGAAGUUUUGUGUGACUAUUGAUAUAUCCAUGUGGUGAAAUACUCAGAUUUUGGUUAAAGAUAGAAUUAUAUUCAUCUGUGUUAUCUAGCCUUAUAUUCGAAACCCUAUUUGGUUAACAAUGGAAGUUUAACAAAAGCGAGGGUUUUAGCUGCUUCCAUGCUAUUUUCUUCUUCAUAUCUGGAAAAUAUUGCUAUCUAAUUCAGAAGUACUUCUGAGUAAGUCUUUUUUUCUCAAUUUUCUACCUAUUUAGAUACAUUCAUAUAUUUUAAUGAAUUUGGGUCUCCCUGGUAUUCUAGGCGAUUCUUUAUUUUUAAUAGAACUUUGGAUAUGUGGUAAAUAUUUUCGUUUUGGGAGUAAAUUUUGGUACAGAAAUUGCAUAUUAGUCCAACAUCAUCUAUGUAUUCAAUUGAAUGUGUUUUCCGUCUUUUAAGGAUGUUGCUUAUGGAUUCCUUUACGAAGGUUUCUUUCGAUCGCAGCAUUAGAGGUGGAGAUUUGAUUAUUGUAUAUGAGAGGCAUGAUACCAUGAAAGCUGUUAACAGUGUGCGAGAAUUCGGUUCUUCAAAAUCGUUUCGGUGUAUUUAAAGCUGUUAAAGCUGCAUUAUAUUUGUUCAGGGAAUAAGAAAACACUAAUUAAAUCAUACUGAGUUUUUAAAUAUUUCCAGAGAAUUUGACAUUUCACAACAACAUUUUAGUAAGUGCUGGGUUUAUUUUCAUAUUCCACGUUGUAUCUCGCUUAGGGAUAAGCUAUUCCAAGAAUAUUCCCAUCAUAUCCUGUCCCGGUUCAGUAUUUUUAGUUCCCAGUUCAGCUGUUUUGGUAUCCGGUUCAGCUUGGAAAAACAGGCCCAAUUUUAUUUUGGUUGAGAGAGUUUAGUAUUGUAUUUUGCUUAAGAAAUGAUUUAGUUAGAAUAUAAAAUAUGAUUAUUUAGUUUUUAAAGUUAAUAAUAAAGUUAAGGGAUAAUGCAUGACAAACGGUUUAAAAAUAAGGAGAAAAUAAAUUUUAGAGUUAUUUAACGUAAGGUUUAAAAUAUUUUAAAAUAAAUAAAAAUUUAAAAAUAAAUUGCACGUGAGUAUGUUUUAAAAUAUCAAAAAUUUAAAUUUAAAAUCAAAAUCGAAUUUUUAAAAUUUUAAUUAUCAUAUUGCAAAAAAGAUUUGAUAAAAUUUAAAUAUUAAAUAUAACAUUAAUAUAUUUUUCAACAAACUUGCAAUGAUAAAACCAUAGAAAGUGAAUUUUUUUUAUCGCUUGGAUGCUUUAUUUACUUAUUUAAAUUUAUUUAUUAUAUAAAUAGUAAAUCGUACUAAUCAAAACAUAUAUUAUUAAUCAACCAAACACUUUGGAAGGGAAUAUUGAAUUUUUUUAAAUAAUAUAAAAAUUUAUUUAAAAUUUUAAAACAAUUUUCAAUUUUCUAUAAUUAGAUAAAUAUCAUAAAAAACUUAUGGGUCGUGCCCGGCCCGGCAUCGAAUCAAAUGCCUUAUUACCUAACCUUGGUUUUCUUUUCCUCUUCAAGUCACACUCACACCCCCCCAAUUUCUAACGGCUAAUUUCAAAAUCCCUAACCCUAACAAAAUAGCUUUGCCUUCUCCACUCCAACACCCUACGGCCACCACCAUUGUCGUUCACGAGUCAGGCAGUCACCAUCGGUCCGCCAUCAUCGUUUACCAGUCAGUUAGUCACCAUCGGUCCACCCAUCAAUCUCUUUCAAGUAAGAGCAAAAUUAAAAUUGUAUUCCUUUUCUUUUUCAAGUAAGAGCAAACCCGUUACUACUCAACUAUAACUCAGUAGCAUUUUUGGCAUGCAAGUAGCUCAUAAAACCAAAACCGCUCCUCCUUUUAUUCUUCUUAUGCUUUUUGCUUUUACAAUUUUUUUUCGUUUUCCCCUAGGGUUUUAUUCAGCGCAGCCGGCUAAAGGUAAAGUCUGCAUUUAGUUUCGAGUUAUUGAAGUAGUUUUUUUAAAGAUAUAAUUAGGGUUUUGGAUAGUGAAUUUUAAGUGGAUUUGUUGAAUUCUACCCCCGAAAGUUUUGUCUUUGUAUGUAAUGUAAUUAGUCUUUUGAUAGUGAUUCUUAAAUUUGAUGCUUUCAUUUCUGUUUUUAUAAUAUUUUUUGUCUUCUUGCUUGCAAUACUAACUAGAAUAUUAGAUAUUAAUUGUAUUUGUACAGUGAGUCAAUGAUAUUAUAUUUAAUUUAAAUCUAAUUUGAUCUGGUAUGCUUCGUUCAUUUAUAAUUUCAAAGUUUCAAUCUUUUUAAUAUCGAUUUGGCACAAUGGAUCUCGAAUAUUUAAUAUUUAAGUUUGUACUUGUAACUUUCUACUGGUUUUCUUUGUUAUUAGUCUGUCCCUACAUUUUGAAGGCAGCAGAUAAUUGGGUUUCUAUUUUCUAAGGUUGUAUAGUAAUUCUCCUUAAAAACUGAUGAAAGCAUGAUCAUCUUUUGUACCUAUCUUCAUCUGUUUUAUGCAAUUUAAAUUAAGGGUCUCCUUCAUAAUGUUGAUAGUUGAUUGGACAGAUCACCAGUCCAUCGUAAGAUUUUUGUAUUUAGUUGCAGGCAAUCGCUCAUUGCCCUCAUUUUUCCACUGGUUUUCAUCUAUUUUGAUUUAUUCAAAAGCUGAAGAUUUCAUCUGGCAUUUACAUGGUUGUUAAGGACAUUUUCUUGGAAUGAUGAGUUCUUUAUCUAUUUUUAUUCUCAUUUUCCAGGUUUUCAUCUUUUUGAUUUCUUCAGAAGCUGAUAGUGUUCGCGUUUCUCUUCUGAUAAUUUAUUUGUUUUUCACUGUUUCUCGAUGCCAUGUUCAGUUGUGAGUAGUGCAUGUUGUCUCUUAUCAUGAUUUACUGAAUUAUUGUGGUUUUGAACUUGUAACAUUGUGUUUCUCAUUCUUCCUUGUUUGUUUGCUCAGAAAACUGAGGGAAAAUGGGUAUUGCAAGGUGUUGUAUUGUUUUUCUGACUUUUAGUUGCAGAAAAUACUUGCUCAACUAAGUUUAAGAGCCUUUUUGUAAGCAGACAAGAGGAUCUUUAUCCUUAAGUCCUAAAAUGGAGGUAAAUAUUUUAGGUCCUUUUGUUAUCUUUUUCCCCAUUUUGAAUUAUGGGACCAAGGAAUGUUCUAACUUAAUUUUUCCUUGUUUGACUAAUAUUUGAAGGAUUUUUGGAUUGAGAGACCUGAAAUAAUACCUCCUUUUGUAGUUCAUUAAGGAAGGAAGUAAGAAGAGAUUUUGGGAUCAAUUAACAUCAAUUUUAACCAGAAGAAUGUGGUCAUAUUUGGAGUUUAAGUCUCGCAUUUUAUCUGGUGCUAAGGUGGUGCAUAUUAGUCAGUCCAUGGAUCAAUGCAUAUUAGUCAGCCCAUGGAUCAAUGCAUAUUCAGUUUUCUUUUCAUACUGUUAGGUGCUUGUACUCAUCAGAAAGGAUCUGGGUAUAUUUUCUUUAAAAUAGUUGAGUGGAGCUGAUCAAUGAACUUUGUUGGAAUUGUUUGUGUGCUGGUGCUUAUAUGAUUUGGAAAUGGAUUUUGAUUGAAAUAUUCAGUUAAUUCCUAAAUGCAUGGCAUGGUUGGAAUUAGGGAUGUAGUUGAAUCGAAAAGGUUGUUUUAUAUUACAAAGUAGUUACAAGUGGUUUUUGUGCUGCAUUAGAAGAUGUUAACUAUGUGAUGUUUUCUUUCUUCUGAAGAACGCAGUAUAUUUGCCUUUUUUUUAUCUUGAAGUGAGAGUUUUCUUUCAAAGUUUCAUAUUUGAAUUGUAUUACUGGUUUAUUUUUAAAAAAAUCCAAAGUAUUCAUCUUUUGCUUUGGUAUUGUUAAUUAUGUAGCAAAAGAAGGUUUAUCUUUUGAGGACGUCGGCCAUUCAUAUUGACCCAAGGUAUCUCUCUACAAUCUCAUGAUUUUGUUUGGAAUAACAUUGAUGUGUGUUGUUUUAUUUGAUUGUUGUUUCCUGUCUACGUGGCUGUUAAUGUUUUAUUUGGCACAUUCCAUAUAAAUUUUGCUUCCUGCAUCUGUAAGUGAAAUGUGUGUUUAUAUAUUCUUUUUAUAUAUUUGCAUUCAUCCAUAAAUGAAAUUUGCAUGUAUAUAUAUUUCUUUCUAUCUGUUAUAAAUUUUGCUUCAUGCAUCUGUAAGUGAAAUGUGUUUGUAUAUAUAUUCUUUUGAUAUAUUUGCAUGCAUCCGUAAGUGAAAUUUGCAUCUAUAUAUAUUCUUUUGAUAUAUUCUUUCUAUCUGUUUGUGUAUAUAUAUCCUUUCUAUCUGUAUGUGUGUGUGUCACGGGGCAGUUUGGCCCGUGACAUGUGCAUAAACUUUUUUUAUAUAACUCUUUCUAUCUUCCAUAUAAAUUUAGCUGCAUGCAUCUGUGAAAUUUGUGCACAUAUAUUCUUUUGAUUCAGGGGUUCAAAUUUUAAUUUUAGUUGAAAAGUUAAUUGUGUAUUUAUAUAUAGUAUAGAUUUAAUAAUAUAGUAUAUAAACACACAUUUAAUUAAUAAUUAAAAUAUUAUCUUUUACAAAGUAAAUUAUAUUAUUAUGAUGAUAUUUUUAUAUAUAAAAUCAAUAAAAAUAAUAAUAAGAUUUUUACAAGAAUCACAAAUCUUUAACUUUUAAUUUUAUUAUUCCAACAAAAAUUUCAUUCCGGUUUCACUUUUUUUUUAUAAAUAUAUAGAUGUACCAUAAUCUAAUACAAUAAAUAAUAAAUGAUAGGGUUGGCCAAACUUCUGUAGCAGCUACUCGUGGGGCUUCUUCUCCACAUACCAAUAAUCCUAACCAAGCGGCCUCUUUGGUUUUUUAGUUAUGAAAAAUAUUUGCUUAACUAAAUUUAAGAGCGUUUUUAUAAGCUUUUUACCCUUUAAGUCCUAAAAUGGAGGUUAAUAUUUUAGAUCUUUUUGAUAUCUUUUUCCCCAAUUUCCCCAAUUUGAAUUAUGGGACCAAGAAAAGUUCUAACUUAGUUUGACUAAAAAUGAAAAGAACCUGUUUUAAAAAGGAAAAGGGGUUGGUGAUGGCGCCGCACUUCAGGAUUUUGGGGUUCGAAAUAAUUCUCAGGUGUUGUAUUUGGCCUCUUCACUUUUCUGGAAAAGUUUUUUUUUUUUUUGUUAUGAUCAUUCUUUGCUCGUUUCCUGCUUAUGAUCUCACCUUAGAGCCUUAACAUCAAUUGACCUGGCAAAUAUCAACUUAAACAAGAUUCAUAUGCUAAUGAAUUAUGGGAAUCCAUCAUCCCGAGUAUUGCAAUUACAAUUACUGGGGCUAUAAUGUCUAGCAGCUGGCGGCAUGUAAAUUAUAAACAUGAAGAAUUCCUCCUCCUGGGAUUUUAUGAUGUGUAUUGCAGGUACAUUUUUUACCUUAUGUUGUCUAAAAAGGUUCUGGGAGACAUUCUAAGAGGAGAAAACACCGUUUCUUCCAUGGCCUGAACAAGCAUUCAUGAUGACAUUCAAUCAUUCGGGCAUCCCUGUUUUCUGAUCCAGCUCAUUCCACAAAUUCACAAUGUUCCAUAGCAAAGUAAAUGUGGUACAAGUACAUUGAUUUCUAGUUGACAUUUUAAAUGAAUUUUAAAGCUCUUGUAAUACUAAAUUUUUAAUAAAUUAGCUUUAUCAUAUCUCGUUUUCUCAAAACCAAAUACAUUGAUCAUGUCAUCAUCUCCAAGAUUCCACAAUUUUAGUUGAAAAGUUAAAUGUGUAAUUAUAUAUAGUAUAGAUUUAAUAAUAUAGUAUUAUAAAUACAUAUUUAAGUAAUAAUUAAAAAUAUUUUCUUUUACAAAGUAAAUUAGUUUAUUAUGAUGAUAUUUUUAUAUAUAAAAUCAAUAAAAAAACAAAUAAUAAGAUUCUUAAAAGAAAGACAAAUCUCAUACUUUUAGUUUUCAUCUUUAUAAAUCCUUUGUCUUUGCCUGUUCAUCUCUGUUUUUUGUUUCAGAUAUAUUUAUUCAUCACUCGAGGCAAAGCAAAAGGGAAAGUAGGAGGAUUUUGAGGAGAGUGAAAAAUGGCUGGUCCUGCUUCAUCGGAGAGUGAAGUCAUUCUGAAAAUACUAUUCGGGUCAGGAGGUUGCCUCAGUUCCCACCAUUUUUAUCGGUGGAAAUCAUGAAGCUUCCAAUUAUUUAUGGGAAUUGUAAGUCACCCCUUUUUCUUCAUAUGUUUUAGCUUGGGGAUUUUGAUUCUUUUAUGAAAAGGCCUUGAAUUUUACCUUCUGCAAUUGAAAUGUGUGAACUUUAGGUAUUAUGGGGGAUGGACGGCACCUAAUAUAUACUUCUUGGGGUUUGCUGGGGUUGUGAAGUUUGGCAAUAUCCGUAUCGGUGGACUUUCCGGAAUUUACUAUGCACGUAAUUAUUGUUUAGGUUGGGUUUGAAGUUCUUUUACUUGUCUAUUUUGUGUUUAUUCUGGAGUUCUUUUAAUGAUGAUUGUUUAUUUACUGCAAGCGAGUGUCAAAUAUGUUAUAUUGAUUCGUAUUUAGGGUGGAGAGUUGAAGCUUUGAAACUGAAAUGAAUUAGCUAGGGAGCUUCAAAAUUUUAGGGGCUAGUCCCCUGUGAACCCCUUUGGCUCAAAUGUUUUUGCGUGUAGGCUGCAUCGGAUUGUAAUUUCAGGUAUGAUUUUCACUUUUACUAACUUUUUAUUUUCAUGUUUUUUUUUAGUUUCAAACCUAUGCUUAUCUUCUUUUAGAACAAGUUUUCAUCUCUGUUUUAGUUUUCAGAUUUAUGCAUAUAUUCGUCUUUUUAAUUCUUGUGAUGUCAUUUUUUUGAUAGUUUAUUGCCUGUUAUGUGUUUUAUUUUUUAUUUUUGUCGGUUGUUUGUUUCUCUCUGUAAUCUGUAUUGAGGGACAUUUUCUUGCAAAUCUUUGAGUCCUAUUUAUGAGAUUUUAUAGCGAAGAUAUGUUUCUAACAACUAUAUAAGUAUCUACCCUAAAACCUUAACUGAUUAGCAGAAAAUAAAUGGUGACAUUUUCUUGUUUCUUUCCCUUUUAUUGUUUCCUCAUUUUCUCUAUUUCAACAAGUAAAAACACUACAUUUGUUGAGGGAAUAAGAAAACACUAAUUAAAUCAUACCGAGUUUUUAAAUAUUUUCUGAGAAAUAUAUUAAAUAUUUUCACAACAACGUUUUAUUAAGUACAGGGAUAUCCCCGUCAAUAAAAAAAAAAAGAAGAAAAAGUACUGGGUUAAUUGCCUUAAAGAAAAAAAGAAAAAGAAAAAGUACUGGGUUUAUUGCCUUCAAAAAGAAAAAGGAAAAGAAAAAGUACUGGGUUAAUUGCCUUCAAAAAAAAAAAAAGAAUAAGAAAAAGUACAGGGUAAAUUUUCAUUCUUCUUCUGGUGUAGGGAUAUCCCCGUCUUAUCCUGCGUCGGAAUAAGCUAUUCCAAGAAUAUCUCUAUUAAUUCCCGUUCUGGUUCAGUACUUUUAGUCCCCGGUUCAGUUGUUUUUGUAUCCGGUUCAGUUGUUUUUACAUGUCUGGACCGGGCUACCUGUGGUGCUUAUUCCAUUCUAGGGAUAUCCCACUCUAGGGAUAUCCCGGCUUGGGAAUAAGGAUACCCCGGUUUCGUAUAUUCCAUUCUUCGGAUAUUCCGGUGGGUUUAGGGGCUUGGGCUUAGGGUUGGGCUGGUGUUUUUGGGCUUUUGUUGCAGUGUUUGGGGCCGUGGAUUUAAUAAAUCCAACAUGCCAACUCUAGGCCAUUCAUGAUUUUAGUCCAACAAACCAAAUGGACCGUCUGAAUGAGGGGAAAAGAAUAAAGAAGCCAUCCACUAAGAAAUGAAGCUUCACUCUCCUUUGUUAUAGGGUUUAUGAAUAACGUCGAUUUCAAUCUCUCGUCUCCUGAUAUAUCUACAGCAUUAAAAGUCCACCGUUUCAUUCCAUCUUCGUUUGUUGGGUUUCGGCUCAGAUCGACUCGCGGGUAAGAUUUCGUGCCUUUGUUUCACAGUUCGACUCCUUAUUUCUCUUCUCCUAAAGAUUCUUCUCAAUUGAAUCUUUGGCGUUAUCGUUUUUACACAGCUUUUGGUUUGGAAUUACGGGUCGAUCAUAGGAUGGUUGACUGAAUCGGUUUCCAAAUUGGGUUUUUGUUUUGUGUUGUAAGCAAUUGAGUGAAUUGGGAUUAUAAAUCCAUAAAUGGGUUUUGGAUUUCUUUGUCUUUGUUGUUUCAGAAAGUGAUUUGUUUGAAUUUAUACUUUUGGUUGGUUUAAAAUAGUUUAACUAUUUUGGAGUGGCAUAGGGAUUGUUAUAGUUUAUUUUAAAUGAAAUAAAACACAGUUCAUCCUCAUCUACUCAAUUACUAUAAAUUUAGGGAGACAAGAUGUUUGGGAGUAUGAUCCGGUACUUUUCAACGGAACCCAAGCAGAAUAUGAAGCCAAUCGAGUUGAAAACGUCGCCAGAGCAAAUGCAGACCAUAACCAAGUCGAUGAUACUUGGGAACGAGUCAAGGUCAGUUGUUUAGUGGACUAUAAUUUGUAUUAAUUGUGUAUCUAUAUUUGUUGUUUCCACAUCUAAUUAAGCCAAGCCCAAGAGUGAAGUAAGGGCAGUGCAGUUUUAUUGUUGCAUAAUUUUAGGAUCUUGAAUUCCAUGCAUUGUUGUUUUUUUCAUGCUUUACUUGCCCGCGCUUGACAUAAUGGAGUAGAAAUGUGUUUAUGAGUUCAGGAGGUUGGAUUGAGAGGCCUUACCAGCAAGAGGCACAUGAAGAUCGUGCUGAGAUGGAUGAGAGAGAGACAAAAGAUUAGGCUAAUAUGCAACGUUGUGGGGCCUCACAAACAAUUUCUGUAUACAACUUGGUUCAGUAAACCAAGCAUUAGCCACACUAGAGCUGUCCAUAAUUCCUCAACUUCUACACCUAGUUUUUCUGUCGAUACUUCUAGUCCAAAGUUGUCUUCAGGUUAGGUUGUAGCACGCUUGUGCUGGCUGCAAUACCAUCGAUUGCAGAACAUGUACUGUUUUUUGCAACAGUGUAAUACAAUUGUUCUGUUUUCAUGUUGUGGAAACUUUACCCUCUUCUUCCCAUAUAUUUUCGAUUUUAAUGUACAAAUUCCAAGUUUGAUUACUUAUCAUCAUUUCUGCCAUUCAAACGGCUCUAUAAAAAAAUAAAAACAAAGUAAAAGAGCUAAGAAUUUAUUGAGAAAUCUCGAGAAACAAACAAAAUCGAGAAGGAUUAGAGGAAGAUGGAAAGAGGAACCUUGAUGGUUCUUCGAGGGAGAUUACUAUAGGCAAUUGGCAAGCUGAUAAUUUUUUUGGUUGAUAAUCAUCAAGGUUCCUCUUUCUAUCUUCCUCGGAUCGUUCUUGAUUUUCCCGAUUUGUUCGUUUCCCGAGAUUUCUCAAUAAAUUCUUAGUUCUUUAACUUUGUUUUUCAUUUUCUUCGUUCCUAAAGUUUAGUUCAGUAACUGAAGUUUUUCCGGCUGUGAUGCAUCAAAAUCCUCAGCUAUUUAUUUUAUGAUCAUCUUCUGAUAUUGAAGAAAGUAUUACCUCUUUUUUCUUCUUUGUUUGAAUUUUGUUUAUUUUUCCUGCUUUAAUUUUGGUUUCUUUAUCUUUAAUCUAAGCAGGACCAAACAGCUUACCUUCCCAAAUCCGAGUUAGCUCCUGAAAACCUUGAAAAGGUUAAAAAAAAGAAAAUCAAAUAUAUCAAAAGCCCUUGGGCCUCAGUUCCGCCGAACCCUGUUAAUAGCCUGCUUCCCUUCAAUAUUUAGACCAUGGAACAACAAACUUAAUCAAAUUUGGUAUCUCUUAUAUCAACCUAAAAUGAAGGUAAAAGUUCUGUGAAGGAAGCUGUAUGACCAGGUUCGAUAUGAUCUCAAAGAAAUAGCUUUCCCUUCUUCAUUGCCUGAUCCUCCCCACAUCAAAAAGUGCUGCAAAUUGACUUGGCACGAGCUCUUCUUGGUACUUUUCUUUUCCAAUUUCUCUUCUGCAGUAAGAGUUUUGUUUGCUUAUUGAUUUCUGGGUUUUAAUGAUGAAUGCUGUUAGAUUCUGGGUUCCCCCCUUCCUUUAUAUAAUUGUAUUUUUUUUAUGGUUUAUGUGAUGGAGAAGCUAUAUUAGUACUGGAUUGUAGUUUAGAUAUUACUGCCAGUUUACAGAGCAUGGCUCUUUCAUUUCUCCAUCAUAGUAAAAUAGUGAGCUUGGUUUGUAAAUUAAUCUCUCUUUUUUUUUCUUUUUUUUGUGUCGUUGCUAUUGCUGUAAGCAAAACAUUUUUGAAUUCUGAAGUGUUUCUUUGGAAGAAAAAAGAUGCAUGUUUUUUUACUUUAAAUCAAGAAUGUAUGUUUGGAAGUACUUUACGCUUGAACUAUUAGCAAUUUCUACUCAAAUAUGAUGAUUUUGCCACUUCCUUUUUAUCAUAUAUAAUUUUUUGCUUUUGUUCCAUUGAACAAAUUUUAAAGAAGCAUAAUGGAAAUUUGAAAUUUCACAGAUGCUAGCUGGUGAUCUGGGUGGAAAUUAGAUCAUUGGGAUAUUGAAGUGAUCAAAUGGCUUUUAUGUACUGUUCUGCUUACUUGAUGAUUAACUUAACCACUUGAAUGUCAAAUAAUGCUCAAGAACCUAUUAUUUGCCUACGCAUUAGGGAAUAAGAGGCAUUUAUUUUUAGUAUAUAAGUAGUAAAAACCUGUCAUCCUUCUUUAGGUCUUGAAGGAGGUCUCUAGGCUUUAUGCUGCAAGUUGGGUAAGGGAUAUUGGUGCUGAUCUUAGACCAAACGAUUAUAAGAAGGAUGAUGGGACUGAAGGUAAAUCCAAUGGAGAUAAGAGUAGGAGUACAGACACAGAACCUUCGACCUUGGAGGAUAUUGGUGAGGAACUUUACUUUGUGGUUUCUUAUCUUGAAAUGUUCUGAUGUAUAAGUUGUCUGUAAUGAAUCAAGAAGUAUAUAGCAUGACUUGCAUAAUAUGCGGCAUAUUAUAUGUGCAAUAAACCGUUAGAUUCGUGCUUGAGACAUCUUAUGGAGGUUAAGGAACAAAGUCCCAUAAUGCUUGAGUUCAGUUAGGUUUUCAUUUCAAUUUCCUUUUUCAAUAGAACUUGUCUGGAGGUAGCAUGGAAUUUAUUCUUUGAUUUCUUUUUCCCCUUGCUGGUCAGAGUCAUCCGUGACUGCAUUUUGUUUUAUUAUGUUGUUGGCACCUGUGUUCAAGUCUUAGAUUUUACGCUUCCAUUGGCAUAUUUUUGGUGAACCCCUUCUUCACCAGGCCAAGGUUCAGUUGUUAAGGAAGAUAUUAAGUUAUUGUUUAUCUCCUAGCAAUCUUAGUUAUCUGGGUUUCAUUGUCUAGAGCCAUUACAGUGACGAUCGUACCGUUAUCUUAUGCUACCUAGGUACCUUUUUUUCUUCUCUUUGGUAUCACUCUGAAGAAUGAUAGCAUGAUGUGCCAUCUGCCAACAUUCGAUUUUCUGAACAUCUUAAUAUAUAUUUCUUUAAUUGAUUUUUGAAAGAAAAUUUUUAACUCAUGAUAAUUUUCUACUUAUUCUGUCAUCAUUUACCUUGUUGGUACAGUUUCUCUGUUUCAACUAAAAAUUUUUAGGCCGUAUUUCUCUCGUCUCACCCUUUUUUCUCUCUUAUUUUCCUGAUAUUAUAGUUUAUCUUGUUGAAUUUUACAUUGUUUUGAUGUUGUCUAUGGAAAUGAUUUAAUAGCAAUUGCUGCAAGAGGAGGGAUAGAGACUUUGAGGCCUGCUUUACAGAGGUUAUACAUGACAAGGGCUUCUGCAUAUAGAGAUGCUCUUAAGAGUUUCAUAGAAGGAUAUCAAGAAGGUAUCUAGCAGGUCAUGGAGAAAAAGGAAGAUUCUUCUAAAGCACAGCAAGAUGGCAAUACUGAUAGAAAUUCAACUUGAUGGCUGAUAAUUGCAUAAUUGGAGAUGCAUGUGAGUACUUCUCUAGCAUACCUAUUUUAGAUACAAGUUUAGAGAUUUGGUGGAAGUUGGUUGGCAUGAAAUCACAAGAAUGAUACAUGUCCUGAGAAUUUUCCUGUAUUGAGAAAGUGAGCUUUAGAAACUGCAGAUAUAAUGGGUAUCUCCAUUGACAAUGGUGAUGCUCUUUUCCUAUUUAUAUACAUAUAUAUAUUAAUGAAUUCGGGUCUUCCUGGCAUUCUAGGUGAUAGUUUAUUCUUUAUGGAACUUUGGAUAUGUGGUAAGUAUUUUUGUAUUGGGGAGUAAAUUUUGGUACAGAAAUUGCAUAUUAGUCCAACAUCAUCUGUGUAUUCAGUUGAAUGUGUUUCUGUCUUUGAAAUACGACAGUCUGUUGCUGUCAUGCUUCGUAGUCUCAAAAUUAUCUCAGUUUUAUGGAAUCUUGUGUAGGACUCAUUUAUGAUGCAUAUUUUAUCCCAUUAUAUUUCUGUUUGUCUAAUUGAUAAUAGAAAGAUUUAAGGAUGGUUGUUUUUUUUUUUUUUCUUUGAUUCUUCUGUGUUGGUUCGCGAAAGAAGGAAUGCUUUACGAAUUUUCACUCCUUCAACAGAGAGGACUUCGAGAGGACUGGAAUAAGCACUUUAAUCACUGUGGGAGUCCGAGAUAUUCAGGGUAAGGGAUUUCCCGAUCAGUUUUCUGGGUUGGCUGACUCUGUAUUUCUGGACCUACCACAACCUUGGCUAGCCAUUCCUUCAGCUUGAAAUAUGUUGACACAAGAUGGAACUCUGUGUUCCUUCUCACCAUGCAUCGAACAAGUACAACGUUCAUGUGAAACUCUUAUAUCUGACUUGACAGGUAACAUAUUAGAACCAAGUUUAUCCUAUCUUGUUCAAGCAGUUUUUCUUUUAAAGCAUCAUGAGUUUUGCUUGUAAUAUGCACAGAUAUAUGGACGUUUGAAAUACUGCUCCGCAUGUAUGAAAUCCGUGAAUGGAAAAUGGAUCACUCGAAGGUCAAUGAUAGGAUUUUUAACUUCUUUUUCUUUUUUUUAAUUUUCUCUUCCUCCCUUUCUCUAAUACGCAGAUUCUAUCUGGGUCUCUUUCCAUUUUGUUUCCUUGAAUUUUUUUUUUUUAGCUUUUGUAUAACCACGUGCCAAAAAAACACACUUGUUACAGCAGGAUAUUGACAUCCCACCCUUUAUCGGAUUGUAAUUUCAGGUAUGAUUUUCACUUCGACUAAUUUUUUCUUUUCACGUCUUUUUCAGUUUCAGACCUAUGCUUCUCUUCUUUUAUUUCUGUGGGUAUUGUGGUUUUCAUCUUUAGAACAAGUUUUCAUCUCUGUUUUAGUUUAAGGACAUUUUCUUACAAAUCUUUCAGUCCUAUUUAUGAGAUUUUAUAGCGAAGAUAUGUUCUAUCAACUAUACGAGUAUCUACCCUAAAACCCAAACUGAUUAGCAGAAAAUAAAUGGAAACAUUUUCUUGUUCCUUUCCCUUUUAUUCUCUUGAUAUUCGCUUUUUCAACAAGUAAAAACAUUAUUUAAUAUGUAUCACAAUAUUUUUAUAAACAUUUUAAUUAAUUGUUUUGCAACCACUUUAUAUUAAAUGAUAAAUCAGGUCUAACAUUUAAGAGGCUUUUUAAUGAAAAUGUGUCUUCUAGGGCACGUUUUUAGCUGACGUGGCUGAAAUUGCUCCCUGUAAAACGCUUUUCCAAUGAAAGCGUAUUGGACGUAGGCUGUUAUUGGAGUAUUUAAGGGGAACACUUAUAAGCCAUGUGUCCUUGUUAUUCAAAGGCUGUUAUUGGAGUUUUAUUGGUGGGCUUGUUAUUCAAAGGGGUGCAGUAUUAGGGUGGCUAUGUGAUUUGAUGUAAUGAGGAUAAAGAGUAGUGACAACAGAGUGGUUUAGCUUGGCGUGUUGUGGCCUUGGGCAGAGGGUGGUGAUUGGUGGGGUUGUCCCCAUUGUUGAGGUCUGGUGAAGGUAUGUUAAGUGAGGAUAUGUGUAACAAUUGCCCUCAGUUGAAGGGAAGGUUAUAAAGUAACCUUACCUGAGACAAAAAGUAUUAGUGAAGUCUCUAUGUUCUGGACAAGCUCUGUCUAGAAAAUUUUCUGCCUACUUUGUUUCAUAAAAUUGGAGGAAAUUGUUGCGAAGUUUGUGAUUUGAUUGUUCUUGUGAAAUUCGCACAAGGCCUUGAAGGCAAGGUGUAAACAUUCAAAGUAUGAAUGCAUGAAGCCUUGGAGGCAAAGUAUAAAUGUGCAAGGUGUUUGAGAAGUUUAGUUGUUUGAGAAGUUGAAGUAUGCCUUGAAGGCUGUGUCUAAGAAGACGAAGUAUGCCUUGAAGGCUAAGUGUCAUAGAAGACGAAGCAUGCCUUGAAGGCUAAGUAUUUGAGAAGACGAAGUUUGCCUUAAAGGCUAAGUGCCGAAGAAGAUGAAGUAUGCCUUGAAGGCGGUGUCUAAGAAUAGAAAGUAUGUCUCGUAGGUUAAGUGUUUGAGAAGUAGAAGUAUGCAUUAAAAGCUAAGUUCCUGGAAAUAUGUGCUUGAACAUUGCACAAUAUUUUUCCCUGAAAAACUUGUAAUUACUUAUAUAAUUGUACCUUCUUUGAGGUAUGCCUGAAAAGGUCGAAAGGUACUCGCCAAUGGAGAGUGCUCAUGAUAUUUAUCCCUCCAAAGCUUGAGGAAUGUCAGUAAUUAUUUAUAAUAUGCAGAAGUUAUACAGUGCUUAUCCUUUAGCUAUGUAUGCAUGGAAGUGAGCUUGUCAUAUGUGGCGAGUACCUUUCAACCUAACUGUGCGGUUAGUGAUUUAUAUUUAUAUUAAAUAUACACAAAUUUCUAUUUAUCACUGUUUAUCACUGCCCUGCUUCAGACCUAACUGUGCGGUUUACACAAAUUUAUAUUAAAUAUAAUUUUUACAUAAAUUUUUCACCCGAUGCAAAAAGGCAAGAAACUAGGGUUAGUGAUUAUAUUUAUAGAUGGAAAUAAAGAAGAGCCCAUUGUUUGUUUUGAGUUCUCACUUAACCCGUUUGCCUCUGGCAUCUUCCCUCAUGACUUAGAAAGAAGCUGCCCUUGCUGCUGCUCCCUUUGAUUCUAUUCCCAUGUCAGCCCAGGCCUAUGUUUCUCCUCCUCCUCCUAUUCAUCAAUUUCUUAUUUUAGAAAAAUAAGAAUUCUAUUUUUCUUAUUCAUCAAUGUUGCUUCCCUUUUCCCUUCGAUGUGAAUUACCGGGAUAAGGAAAUCCCAGCUACUGUGGUGUAUGAAAAUGAUAAGGUGCUGAUCUUUUUCCUUUUUACUUCUGAUUUUAAAUUCUGCGGAUUCAGUCACUGCCUAUUUGUACGCCGGAAAGAUCUUUUAGAAGUCAGGCCCUAUUUUUCCCUUCUUGAACUAUGGCUUGAUUCUUGCAACAGGUGAUGCUCAUUUUAUAUAUAUUUUUUGUAUUUGUUUCUUAAAACAAAUUUCCCUCGACCAAAUUCUGGUCGUGACCUGGAACUUGGUCUGGCUUUUAACAAUUCAAAAGGCACUACUUUUGACCUUUUCCGUUUUUAUCUUAAAAUGGAUAGAAAUGCAAACACCCCCGGCCUAAUAAGUUGGAGAAGAUACGUCGUCGUUGUGCAUUUUGACAAGUAGCCUAUUAUUGGCCUAAAGUAAUGCAUGGAGACUUGUGGGGUAGCACAUUCUAAGUUAGAAUGAGAGAGUAGAGGUUCUUUUGUUUGUCUUAAUAGCUGUCUAUAUAAAGGGCUGUGUUUUUUAUUUUUGUUUAAUUUAUUUUCACUAGCUGUCUUGCUAAGAGUAAUAGAUGAGAAUUUGUUGGAAUUUUGAGGGAUGCUGAUUGUAUUUAAGAGGAUGGAUUCUAAGAAAUGAACGUGGAAGUGGCCUCAUGCCUUGAAAUUAUUAGGUUCAUUAAUUGGUCAGUCAGCUGGUCAAAUGUUUUCAGGGAAAUGAGAUAGCAGAUGUAUUAGGUAAGGUUGGCAUUUGAAGGGAAGUAUUUUCAUGGCUUGAUAGUGAUAUUUUCUGUUUUAUUGAGUUCUCUGUGCGAUCAUUGGUAUUUCCAUGUCCUGGCGCUGUCUGUUCUUACUUGGUGUUCAAGUUUUGGUUGACUUGUGCUACUGAUGUUUUAAUUCUACAUAUUGGUACUGAAAUGUCUCUGUCUGAAAUUUUUUAAUUAGCUUUGAAUUUUGCUUCCAUUGGCCGAAAGCUUUAAAGCUAUCACUGUUGCAAAAUUCAAAGCUAAUUAAAAUUUUUUUCAGUGCAAUAGUGAGUACUGAUAUUUCUUUGUUACGAAAGAAAUAAAAUAUAGCCAAACUUCUGUAGCAACUGCUCGUGGGGCUUCUCCUCAUACCAAUAAUCCUAACCUUGCAGCCUCUUUGGUUUUUUAGUUAUGAAACAUAUUUGCUUAACUAAAUUUAAGAGCGUUUUUAUAAGCUUUUACCCAUAAGUCCUCAAAAUGGAGGUUAAUAUUUUAGAUCCUUUUGAUAUCUUUUUCCCCAAUUUGAAUUAUGAGACCAAGAAAAGUUUGCUGUUUUAAAAAAUAAAAGGUAUAAUAAAUAAAACCCAACGGUAAAAAGCUUUUUUUUUGUAACUUCCACAUGGCAGAUGACUUUUGGGGGUUUUGAUUUUGGACUUGGGGUUUGCGAGUCUUUGGGCUUCUGGUGACGUCAUUUUUCCUGUUGGUUCAUUAGAUGACUACAGCGAAGACAUUCCCAUUGAAGGCGAGGAUGAUCUAGAAGAUGAUGCAGAACCGAAAAAUGAAAACCGGUCCUCAUGAAUGUGAAUAAUGUUUUCAAUCAACCAAGAGGUUUAUUAGUGCAAAAAGAUUGAUGGCAAUAUCUUGCUAUGCUAUGAGGCUUUAAUUAUUUGAGAAGUUGGCAACUUGGUUUAAUGGCCCACACUUUUCCAACUCUCAUCAGCAGAGGAGAGCACCUAUUCAAGUUGUGGGCUUUUGUUGAGGUUUCUUUCAUUCUUUCUAAAAUAAUGUAUAAACAUCAAAUAUUAUAUCAACCCGAAUCAAAUGCCUAAUUGCGUACCGUUAGUUUUCUUUUCCUCUACCCGAAUCAAAAUCCGUAUUUCUGGACCUACCGCAACCUUAGCUAGCCAUUCCUUCAGCUUGAAACAUGUUGAAACAAGAUGGAACUCUGUGUUCCUUCUCACCGUGCAUCGAACAAGUUGCACGUUCAUGUGAAACUCUUAGAUCUGACUUUACAGGUGACAUAUUAGAAACAAGUUACGCUAUCUUGUUCAAGCAGUUUUUCUUUUAAAGCAUCAUGAGCUUUGCUUGUAAUAUGCACAGAUAUAUAUGGACGUUUGAAAUACUGCUCCUCAUGUAUGAAAUCCAUGAAUGGAAAAUGGAUCACUCGAAGGUCAAUGAUAGGAUUUUUACUUUCUUUUUCUUUUGUUUUGUUUUGUUUUUUUUUUAAUUUUCUCUUCCUCCCUUUCUUUAAUACGCAGAUUCUAUCUGGGUCUCUUUCCAAUUUUUUCCUUAUUUUUUUUUUUAGCUUUUGUGUAACCACGUGCCAACAAAACACACUUGCUACAGCAGGAUAUUGAAAUCCCACCCUUCAUCGGAUUGUAAUUUCAGGUAUGAUUUUCACUUUGACUAACUUUUUAUUUUCACGUCUUUUUUAGUUUCAGACCUAUGCUUAUCUUCUCUUAUUUCUGUGGGUAUUGUGGUUUUCAUCUCUGUUUUAGUUUUCAGAUUUAUGCUUCUUUUUUAGUUUUUUCAUUGUUUUUUUGUUAUUCGUUUUGGUGUUCAGCCUUAUGAGACACUGCUUAUAUUCGUCUUUUUAAAUCUUGUGAUGUCCUCAUUUUUUUGAUAGGUUAUCGCUUGUUAUGUGUUUUCUUUUUUUCGAUUAUUUGUUUCCCUCUGUAUUUAAGCACAUUUUCUUACAAAUCUUUCAGUCGUAUUUAUGAGAUUUUAUAGCCAACAUAUGUUUCUAUCAACUAUACGAGUAUCUAUCCUAAAACCCUAACUGAUUAGCAGAAAAUAACUGGAAACAUUUUCUUGUUUCUUUCCCUUUUAUUGUCUCUUGAUUUUCCCUUUUUCAACAAGUAGAAAUAUUUUAUUUAAGAAAACACUAAUUAAAUCAUACUGAAUUUUUAAAUAUUUUCAGAGAAUUGGACAUUAAAUAUUCUCGACGUUUUAGUAAGUACUGUGUUAUUUGGUUAGCUUGUUAUUGGGUUGGCUUGUGUCUGAGCAGAUUUUUCUUGUUAAUAUUCAUUCUUAUUCUGCACAAAAAUACCCCAUUAUAUUCCAUUGCGGGAUAAGCUAUUCCUCUGUCAUCUUCAGGAUAUCCCGUUCCGGUUUAGUAUUUUGGUGCCCGGUUCAGCUGAUUUGAUAACCGGUUCAGAGUUUUUGACGUGUUUGAACCGGGAUACCUGUCAUGGUUAUUCCUGCUAGCGAUAUCCCAUUCCAGGGAUAUCCCGGGUUUGGGAUAUCCUAAGAAAGGAUAACACGGUCUGGUAUAUCCCAUUCUAGGGAUAUCCGGUUUGGGUUCUGAGGGUUUGAGGUUUACUGUUGGGCUGGUGUGUUUGGGCUUUCGUUUGAGUGUAUGGGGAUGUGGACCUCUUAGGUUUUGGUUACUGGGUUAUUGAGCUUAGGUUGCAUGUCAUGUACUGGACUGAUUUUGGGCCUUUAUUUAGUUAGUCUGAUGGGCCCUUAUAUUAUUAUUUUGUUGCCUUGCUUUGGGUUUUAUUCAGGCCAUGUUUGGUUCAAUGUAAUGGUUAUGCCAUUGCAACCUUAUUCCGUGGGCCCACCUUAAACACAUGUUUGGUUCAAUGGAAUGCCCUAUUACGGGCUUAUUCCAUUACGGGCCUAGGUAAUGAAAUGUCUGGUUUUGAGCUUAGGUUGUACCCCAUUUACUGGACUGAUUUUGGGGCUUCAUUUAGUUAGUCAGAUGAGCCCUUUAUAUGGGUUUUAUUGUGUUUUAUGUAUAAACUGUUUAUUUAGCUAUUUUAGUAUCCAGUCCGAUAUUUUUUCAAAAAUAAAAUAAAAUUCAAACCGUUUUCAAAAUAAAUGAUAUAAAAACUCUUUCUUCAUUCAUCUUUCUCACGUUCGGUUCUCCUUUAUUCUCUCCUCUUUUCUACUAUUUUUCUUCUUUUUUCCUCUUCCUCCUUUAUUGUCCUUUCUAACAAAGCGCUGCCGCUUCCUCCACACACUUUCCAGCGUCUUACAUCCGAUCAGGCCAGCUUCCUUCCCAUCAUUCGAAAUUUAAAUCCUCAAAUAUAUCUAUCCAAUCCAUUGCCCCCCAUUUCUUCGAAGAUUCUCUCUCACUCUCGGUCUCUUUUCAACGUUUUCCUGUCAUUCUUUUUUAGCUUUGGGUAUCCACAGGCCAAAAACACACGCUAGAGUAGGAAGAGAGUAUUGUGAAAGAGAAACCCUAGGUUUUCUCUGGCGUUUCUGGUUUUUGUGAUUUUUGAAAUUCGCUGCUUCAACGGAGACUCAUUUCAGGUAUCAAUCUCUUUUUUAGUUUCAGCUCCAUGCUUUUUUACUUGUAUUUCAGUGGAUUUUUCUUAGGGUUUUUGGUUUUCAGCUUUAGAAAUACUGUUUCGUUCCGUCUUUCAGAUCUAUA
Molecule: long non-coding RNA, 20399 nt
Filed under: Gossypium barbadense (sea-island cotton)
Lineage: Eukaryota; Viridiplantae; Streptophyta; Magnoliopsida; Malvales; Malvaceae
Description: long non-coding RNA (GBAR_LNC013090)
Source: RNAcentral